RNAcentral lists this ribosomal RNA (497 nucleotides) under uncultured bacterium. RNAcentral describes it as "partial 16S ribosomal RNA". It matches the Rfam family "Bacterial small subunit ribosomal RNA", at positions 28 to 507 of the family's 1533-position model. The record is from RNAcentral.
GACGAACGCUGGCGGCGUGCCUAAUACAUGCAAGUCGAACGCUGAAGAGAGGAGCUUGCUCUUCUUGGAUGAGUUGCGAACGGGUGAGUAACGCGUAGGUAACCUGCCUUGUAGCGGGGGAUAACUAUUGGAAACGAUAGCUAAUACCGCAUAACAAUGGAUGACACAUGUCCUUUAUUUGAAAGGGGCAAUUGCUCCACUACAAGAUGGACCUGCGUUGUAUUAGCUAGUAGGUGAGGUAAUGGCUCACCUAGGCGACGAUACAUAGCCGACCUGAGAGGGUGAUCGGCCACACUGGGACUGAGACACGGCCCAGACUCCUACGGGAGGCAGCAGUAGGGAAUCUUCGGCAAUGGGGGCAACCCUGACCGAGCAACGCCGCGUGAGUGAAGAAGGUUUUCGGAUCGUAAAGCUCUGUUGUAAGUCAAGAACGGGUGUGAGAGUGGAAAGUUCACACUGUGACGGUAGCUGACCAGAAAGGGACGGCUAACUACGUG